UACGUAGGGGGCAAGCGUUGUCCGGAUUUAUUGGGCGUAAAGAGCGUGUAGGCGGCUUUACAGGUCCGCUGUGAAAACUCGAGGCUCAACCUCGAGCUGUCGGUGGAAACCGUAAAGCUAGAGUCCGGAAGAGGAGAGUGGAAUUCCCGGUGUAGCGGUGAAAUGCGCAGAUAUCAGGAGGAACACCGGUGGCGAAGGCGGAUCUCUGGGCCUUACCUGACGCUGAGGCGCGAAAGCUAGGGGAGCAAACAGG
This 253-nucleotide ribosomal RNA is filed under the name uncultured bacterium. Its description in RNAcentral is "partial 16S ribosomal RNA". It matches the Rfam family "Bacterial small subunit ribosomal RNA", at positions 524 to 776 of the family's 1533-position model. The record is from RNAcentral.